This 436-nucleotide ribosomal RNA is filed under the name uncultured bacterium. RNAcentral describes it as "bacterial SSU rRNA". It matches the Rfam family "Bacterial small subunit ribosomal RNA", at positions 30 to 514 of the family's 1533-position model. The record is from RNAcentral.
UGAACGCUGGCGGCGUGCUUAACACAUGCAAGUCGAACGAACCUUCGGGUUAGUGGCGGACGGGUGAGUAACGCGUGAGAAUCUGCCCUCAGGAGGGGGAUAACGGCUGGAAACGGCCGCUAAUACCCCAUAUGCCGAGAGGUGAAAUGAAUUUCGCCUGAGGAUGAGCUCGCGUCUGAUUAGCUAGUUGGUAGGGUAAAGGCCUACCAAGGCUUCGAUCAGUAGCUGGUCUGAGAGGAUGAUCAGCCACACUGGGACUGAGACACGGCCCAGACUCCUACGGGAGGCAGCAGUGGGAAUUUUCCGCAAUGGGCGCAAGCCUGACGGAGCAACGCCGCGUGAGGGAUGAAGGCCUCUGGGCUGUAAACCUCUUUUAUCAAGGAAGAAGAUCUGACGGUACUUGAUGAAUAAGCCACGGCUAAUUCCGUGCCAGCAG